AUUGAACGCUGGCGGCAUGCUUUACACAUGCAAGUCGAACGGCAGCGCGGGCUUCGGCCUGGCGGCGAGUGGCGAACGGGUGAGUAAUGCAUCGGAACGUGCCCAGUAGUGGGGGAUAGCCCGGCGAAAGCCGGAUUAAUACCGCAUACGACCUGAGGGUGAAAGCGGGGGACCGAAAGGCCUCGCGCUAUUGGAGCGGCCGAUGUCGGAUUAGCUAGUUGGUGGGGUAAAGGCUUACCAAGGCGACGAUCCGUAGCUGGUCUGAGAGGACGACCAGCGACACUGGGACUGAGACACGGCCCAGACUCCUACGGGAGGCAGCAGUGGGGAAUUUUGGACAAUGGGGGCAACCCUGAUCCAGCCAUGCCGCGUGCGGGAAGAAGGCCUUCGGGUUGUAAACCGCUUUUGUUCGGGAAGAAAUCCUCUGGGCUAAUACCCCGGGGGGAUGACGGUACCGGAAGAAUAAGCACCGGCUAACUACGUG
RNAcentral lists this ribosomal RNA (484 nucleotides) under uncultured bacterium. RNAcentral describes it as "partial 16S ribosomal RNA". It matches the Rfam family "Bacterial small subunit ribosomal RNA", at positions 28 to 507 of the family's 1533-position model. The record is from RNAcentral.